The sequence is a ribosomal RNA, 278 nucleotides long. It matches the Rfam family "Eukaryotic small subunit ribosomal RNA", at positions 640 to 919 of the family's 1831-position model.
UUCAGGACAGGAUCUAUUGGUUGGUAUAUUUGUACUAACCUUUAGCUUCCGCCUAAUCAGCCGCUUGUCAUUUUGGGUGCUCUUUAUCGGGUGCUCAGAAUACUCGGCACGUUUACUUUGAAAAAAUUAGAGUGCUCAAAGCAGGCCUUGUGCUUGAAUACUGUUGCAUGGAAUAAUGGAAUAGGACUUCGGUUCUAUUUUGUUGGUUUUCGGAAUCGAAGUAAUGAUUAAUAGAGACAGACGGGGGCAUCUGUAUGGUGGUGUUAGAGGUGAAAUUC